This is a long non-coding RNA of Solenopsis invicta (red fire ant), 409 nucleotides long. RefSeq lists it as uncharacterized. The record is from RefSeq and is a predicted model, not a curated record. NCBI's taxonomy places the organism in Eukaryota, Metazoa, Arthropoda, Insecta, Hymenoptera, Formicidae. The transcript is spliced from 2 exons.
UCAAGAAUGAAGCGACUCGCGCCGAUAGUCGCGCUGUCCGCGAGCCUUCGCCAGAAUUUCCUUAGGAUUACGUUGCCAUCGGACAACGAGAUCGGCCUCCAAAACAGUGCGAGCACGAGCUAUUCUCGCGAAAGAGGAGAAAGGUAAGGUCGUGACGAAGAGGAAUGAAGUGCAACGAGCGUGACUGACGAGGACAGCUUUCAAAAUAUCAGGCGAGCCUGGCAGAACCUAAGCUUUGCUCGGACGAUGAUAGCAUCGCACACCUCCUCGCGAGACACUGCGCAGCGGCGCAGUGAAUCGAAACAAUAAAAUCAGUGAACAUGGUCUAAAAAAAUAAGAUCGUGGUUUUUCUUCUCAAACUAUGAAAAAUGUACUUUAGAAUGAUUAAACUAAAAUAAUUAAACUAAAA